RNAcentral lists this ribosomal RNA (581 nucleotides) under Trechus lallemantii. Its description in RNAcentral is "partial 16S ribosomal RNA". The stretch from base 341 to 499 matches the Rfam family "Bacterial large subunit ribosomal RNA", at positions 2473 to 2632 of the family's 2925-position model. The record is from RNAcentral. Lineage: Eukaryota; Metazoa; Arthropoda; Insecta; Coleoptera; Carabidae.
GAUGGCUGCAGUAAUUUGACUGUACAAAGGUAGCAUAAUCAUUAGUUUUUUAAUUAAAAGCUUGUAUGAAAGGUUGGACGAAAUAAAAUCUGUCUCUUUUUAAUAUAAUUAGAAUUUAAUAUUUAAGUUAAAAAGCUUAAAUAGAUUUAAAAGACGAGAAGACCCUAUAGAGUUUAAUAAUUUUUUUUUAUUAAUUAAUUUAGAUUUAUUUAUUUUAUUUUAAGAAAAUUAUUUUAUUGGGGUAAUAGAAAGAUUUAAAUAAUUCUUUUUUAAUUAAAUCAUUAAUUUAUGAAAAUUUAUGAUCCAUUGAAUUUUGAUUAUAAGAUUAAAUUACCUUAGGGAUAACAGCGUAAUUUUUUUUAAGAGUUCAUAUCGAUAAAAAAGUUUGCGACCUCGAUGUUGGAUUAAAGAUUAGUUUAGGUGUAGAAGUUUAAAUUUUUGGUCUGUUCGACCAUUGAAUCUUUACAUGAUCUGAGUUCAAACCGGUGUAAGCCAGGUUGGUUUCUAUCUUUAAAAAGAUUUGAUAUUUUAGUACGAAAGGACCAAAUAUUAUAUAUAUAAAUAUUUAAAUAUUGAAUAUU